UGGGGAAUAUUGGACAAUGGGCGCAAGCCUGAUCCAGCAAUGCCGCGUGUGUGAAGAAGGCCUGCGGGUUGUAAAGCACUUUCAGUGGGGAGGAAAAGCCUGGGGCGAAUACCCCUGGGUCUUGACGUUACCUACAGAAGAAGCACCGGCUAACUCCGUGCCAGCAGCCGCGGUAAUACGGAGGGUGCAAGCGUUAAUCGGAAUUACUGGGCGUAAAGCGCGCGUAGGCGGCUUGAUAAGUCAGAUGUGA
This 250-nucleotide ribosomal RNA is filed under the name uncultured bacterium. RNAcentral describes it as "partial 16S ribosomal RNA". It matches the Rfam family "Bacterial small subunit ribosomal RNA", at positions 355 to 597 of the family's 1533-position model. The record is from RNAcentral.